This 278-nucleotide small RNA is filed under the name Candidatus Nesterenkonia stercoripullorum. Its description in RNAcentral is "5' ureB small RNA". It matches the Rfam family "5' ureB small RNA". The record is from RNAcentral. Lineage: Bacteria; Bacillati; Actinomycetota; Actinomycetes; Micrococcales; Micrococcaceae.
UGGAUCUGCGACGGGGAGAGCAGGUGGACGUGGGAGUCGAAGGCACCCGCAGUGACGAUCCGGCCCUCUCCCGCAAUGACAUCGGUUGAGGGGCCGAUAUGCAGAUCGACGUCGAUGCCGUCGCUGAUAUCAGGGUUCCCCGCGUGGCCGAUGCCGACGAUCCGGCCGCUGCGGAUGCCGAUAUCGGCGCGGAUGAUGCCCCACCAAUCCAGGAUGACGGCAUUGGUGAUGACAGUGUCCAGGGCGCCGUCGGCGCGGCUGAUCGUGCCCUGGGCCAU